GAUGAACGCUGGCGGCGUGCCUAAUACAUGCCAGUCGAGCGAACAGACGAGGAGCUUGCUCCUCUGACGUUAGCGGCGGACGGGUGAGUAACACGUGGAUAACCUACCUAUAAGACUGGGAUAACUUCGGGAAACCGGAGCUAAUACCGGAUAAUAUAUUGAACCGCAUGGUUCAAUAGUGAAAGACGGUUUUGCUGUCACUUAUAGAUGGAUCCGAGCCGCAUUAGCUAGUUGGUAAGGUAACGGCUUACCAAGGCAACGAUGCGUAGCCGACCUGAGAGGGUGAUCGGCCACACUGGAACUGAGACACGGUCCAGACUCCUACGGGAGGCAGCAGUAGGGAAUCUUCCGCAAUGGGCGAAAGCCUGACGGAGCAACGCCGCGUGAGUGAUGAAGGUCUUCGGAUCGUAAAACUCUGUUAUUAGGGAAGAACAAAUGUGUAAGUAACUAUGCACGUCUUGACGGUACCUAAUCAGAAAGCCACGGCUAACUACGUG
RNAcentral lists this ribosomal RNA (497 nucleotides) under uncultured bacterium. Its description in RNAcentral is "partial 16S ribosomal RNA". It matches the Rfam family "Bacterial small subunit ribosomal RNA", at positions 28 to 507 of the family's 1533-position model. The record is from RNAcentral.